GCACUGGUGGUUUAGUGGUAUAAUUCUCACCUUCCAAGUGGGAGACUCGGGUUCUAUUCCUGACCAACGCA
This 71-nucleotide transfer RNA is filed under the name Loxodonta africana (African savanna elephant). It matches the Rfam family "tRNA". From Rfam's summary of the family: Transfer RNA (tRNA) molecules are approximately 80 nucleotides in length. Their secondary structure includes four short double-helical elements and three loops (D, anti-codon, and T loops). Lineage: Eukaryota; Metazoa; Chordata; Mammalia; Proboscidea; Elephantidae. The record is from Rfam by way of RNAcentral.